UUCCGGUUGAUCCUGCCGGACCCGACUGCUAUCAGAGUGAGACUAAGCCAUGCGAGUCAACGUAUGAAUAGUACGUGGCAUACGGCUCAGUAACACGUAGUCAACAUGCCCAGAGGACGUGGAUAACCUCGGGAAACUGAGGAUAAACCGCGAUAGGUCAUAUUUACUGGAAUGUUUUAUGGCUCAAAUCUACAUGGCCUCUGGAUUGGACUGCGGCCGAUCAGGCUGUUGGUGAGGUAAUGGCCCACCAAACCUGUUACCGGUACGGGCUCUGAGAGGAGGAGCCCGGAGAUGGGCACUGAGACAAGGGCCCAGGUCCUAUGGGGCGCAGCAGGCGCGAAACCUCUGCAAUGGGCGAAAGCCUGACAGGGUUACUCUGAGUGAUUCCCGUUAAGGGAAUCUUUUGGCAUCUCUAAAAACGAUGCAGAAUAAGGGGUGGGCAAGUCUGGUGUCAGCCGCCGCGGUAAUACCAGCACCCCGAGUGGUCGGGACGAUUAUUGGGCCUAAAGCAUCCGUAGCCGGUCUUGCAAGUCUUCCGUUAAAUCCAGCUGCUUAACGGAUGGGCUGCGGAAGAUACUACAAGACUAGGAGGCGGAAGAGGCAAGCGGUACUCAGUGGGUAGGGGUAAAAUCCUCUGAUCCAUUGAAGACCACCAGUGGCGAAGGCGGCUUGCCAGAACGCGCUCGACGGUGAGGGAUGAAAGCUGGGGGAGCAAACCGAAUUAGAUACCCGGGUAGUCCCAGCUGUAAACGAUGCAGACUCGGUGAUGGGCCGGCUUCAUGCCGGCUCAGUGCCGCAGGGAAGCCGUUAAGUCUGCCGCCUGGGGAGUACGGUCGCAAGACUGAAACUUAAAGGAAUUGGCGGGGAGCACCACAAGG
Molecule: ribosomal RNA, 878 nt
Filed under: uncultured archaeon
Lineage: Archaea
Description: bacterial SSU rRNA
Rfam family: Archaeal small subunit ribosomal RNA
Source: RNAcentral